This 1356-nucleotide long non-coding RNA is filed under the name Sus scrofa (pig). Its description in RNAcentral is "lncRNA (ENSSSCG00070022598.1)". Lineage: Eukaryota; Metazoa; Chordata; Mammalia; Artiodactyla; Suidae. The record is from RNAcentral.
AUGGAUACUAGUCGGGGUCUUAACCCACUGAGCCAUAACGGGAACCCCCCAGUGGAUGCUUCCUGGUGGUCUGCAGUUACCGUGUUGAACGCAGACCCCCGGGAAAGGGCAGCCACAUGUCCACUUGGGUUACACACAGGUUGUACCAAACAUUAUGCCCAAGGGAGAGCCUCCGCCCAAGCCCCGGUCCCUCCUCACCCGCCCGUCACCUUGUCUGGAGCGCCUGCGGCAUCUCCUGGUCCAGCAGCGUCCGUUUUCAAGUCACCCUCGGGCAGCUUUCCCACGGGCUCAGUCCUCUGGACCGCCACUCUCAGGCUUUUCUGCUUCAUGCCCAGGGGGUCGGGCAGGUCCCCUCUCUCCCUGGGGGCCGCCCUCUGCCUCUUCUGCAGUGGCUUCUCGUCCCCGGGCUCCUGCACGGCCGUCUCGGGGCGCAGCCUCUUCCUCCCUGAGGCCCGGCCGGCCUCUCCCUGCUCCCUCUGGGGGGAUGCGUGGCUUUCACUCGGUGAUGUGCCCCCAGGGUCUUCCGUGGAUCUGACUUUAGAGGCCCUGAGGUCACUUCGGGAUGUUUCUGCAGGCCGUCUUCUGCCUGCUGUUGGCCUCAGGGCUGUCUUAACGUGGGCAGCAUCAUUUCCCAGUCCCUUGGCCUGCUCUGGCCUUGGGAAGGGCUCCUUUACACUGCCCAGGCCUCCCGGUGGCUGGGCCUUUUCCUUAUGUGAUCUCAGCCGACUCUUGGUACCGACAACCUCAUCUGCUGAGUCCAGGUUCGGCCCCGAAGUUUCCUUAAACACUGCGAUGUCUUUCUCAUCAGCUGCCAGUUCUGACCCUGUGGGUCUGGUUUCCCUCGCUGCCCGGGUGGGCUUCCUGGGCGCUGACGGCCCUUCUGCGUCCACUUCCCCUGGUGGUGACCGGAGCCGUCUCUGUCUGGUUGUCCGCCUGGUAACUGGUUCUGCUGGUGGAGAUGUACAGGGCAUUUUGGUGGGUAUGUCAUCAGCCACAGGGUCCUUGGCACGAUGUGGGGUUUGGAAGAGCUCCUGGAAGCCAGCCAGGUCUUCCAGGGGUGGGACUUUCUCCCUGAGUGUUCUCCUUGGUCUCUUCUGUUCUCCGGCUACAUUUUCUGCUGAGUCCAGUUUCUGCUUUAGCCUUUUCUUAAAUGCUUUGUCUUCCUCCUCAGCUGCUGGUCCUCUGUCUGAGUGCCCGGCUUCCUCUGGUGUCUGUCUGGGCUUCCUGGGUGCUGAGAGCUCAGCAUCUGUGCCCACCUUCUGGGGAGGGGUUCUGAGCCCUCUCUUUCCACUUGCUGGUGUGUUGACUGGUUCUGUUGUGGGGGUUUUGUCACCGGUCACUGGGUCCUUGGCGUGA